Molecule: transfer RNA, 86 nt
Filed under: Pholiota conissans
Lineage: Eukaryota; Fungi; Basidiomycota; Agaricomycetes; Agaricales; Strophariaceae
Description: tRNA-Ala
Rfam family: tRNA
About the family: Transfer RNA (tRNA) molecules are approximately 80 nucleotides in length. Their secondary structure includes four short double-helical elements and three loops (D, anti-codon, and T loops).
Source: RNAcentral
GGGCACAUGGUGUAGUUGGUUAUCACGCUCGCUUAGCAUUUGACGUGGUUUGCGAGAGGUGUUGGGUUCAAUUCCCAAUGCGUCCA